RNAcentral lists this ribosomal RNA (484 nucleotides) under uncultured bacterium. RNAcentral describes it as "partial 16S ribosomal RNA". It matches the Rfam family "Bacterial small subunit ribosomal RNA", at positions 28 to 523 of the family's 1533-position model. The record is from RNAcentral.
GACGAACGCUGGCGGCGUGCUUAACACAUGCAAGUCGAACGAUGAACCCGGAGCUUGCUCCGGUGGAUUAGUGGCGAACGGGUGAGUAACACGUGAGUAACCUGCCCUUGACUCUGGGAUAACUGCGGGAAACUGUAGCUAAUACCGGAUACGACCCUCGGCGGCAUCGCCAGGGGGUGGAAAGAAUUUCGGUCGAGGAUGGACUCGCGGCCUAUCAGCUAGUUGGUGAGGUAACGGCUCACCAAGGCGACGACGGGUAGCCGGCCUGAGAGGGGGACGGGCAACACUGGGACUGAGACACGGCCCAGACUCCUACGGGGGGCAGCAGUGGGGAAUAUUGCGCAAUGGGCGAAAGCCUGACGCAGCAACGCCGCGUGAGGGAUGACGGCCUUCGGGUUGUAAACCUCUUUCAGCAGGGAAGAAGCGAAAGUGAUGGUACCUGCAGAAGAAGCACCGGCUAACUACGUGCCAGCCGCCGCCGUAA